Molecule: non-coding RNA, 2438 nt
Organism: Cinara cedri
Lineage: Eukaryota; Metazoa; Arthropoda; Insecta; Hemiptera; Aphididae
Source: the annotation of a GenBank genome assembly
UAAUAACGAUAAAAAAAAAAAUAUAUAUAUAUAUACUAUUAUAAUAAUUAGUUAUAAUAAUUAAUUAUAUUAAUUAUACAUAAUAGAUAAGUUUUAUUUUUAUUAUUUAUUUAUUUAUUUUAUCAUUUUAAUUUUGUAUUAAUUUAAUUAUUAUUAUAAUUUUUUUUUGAUUGAAUUAACCAAUAAAAAAUAGAUAAUCAGCUGUGCAGGGUGUAUUCAACAAACGAUAAUAAAUAAUAAUAAAUAAUAUAAUAAUAAUUUAUAAUUUAAUAACAAUAAUCAUGUUGUAAUAUAAUCGUGUUAUACGAUAAUAUUAUGUUGUUGGAGUGUUGGUAUGUAUUUAAGAAAAUAAUAAUAACGACGUGAACUAGGUAAAUUAUUGUCGUGGAAAAUAUUAUAUAUUUAUCGAAUGUUAUAUUAUUAUUUAUUAUUUUUUUUUUUUUCUAGUUUAAAUACAAGACUGCUGGUCUAUGAACAAAAUAUUAAUAUAGACGUGUCUAAAAAAAGAAAAAAAAAAAUUUAGAUAAUUAUUUAAUAAUGAUAUAUACGAAGGUACACAUUAUUGUAAUAGGUAAAAUGUUUUUCGCGUUAUUAAUAUUUGUUAAUUUAUUUAAAUGGAUUAACAUAAUAUUAUUAUUGUUAUUAUUAUUGAUUUAUACCAACACCGCCGCACUGUACGAUGAUAAUAUUAUAUUGUACAAGAACGAUGUGUAUUCCUAUAAUAUUUUAAUGACCUAGGUGUGUAAAUUUGAAUUUGGCAGCAGACAAUAAUAAAAUUAUUAAACGGGGAUAAUAAUAAUAUAAUAUUACCUAUACGAAUGUCGUACGUUAAUAAUAUAUUAAAACUAUUAAUAUUAAUAUUAUAGAUUAAUUUUUAAUUGUUAAAUUAGUUAUAUUACAGUGUUUAUAUAUGUGUAUAUAUAUAUAUAUACACACACACACACACACACACACACACACACACACUAUAAUAUCGAUUUAUUGUUAUGUUAAUAAUAAUACGCGUUGUUUCGAGACACCCGGAUAUUGUUCUUAUUUUUUCUGCCAAUAUCGUUAAAACGUGUACAAUAUUAACGAAUAUAAUUAAGCGAAAAAACAUAAUAAUUCAUAUUUUUGCAGACCGCAACGACUAAAUUGAUUUUUUUUUUUUUUUUAAGUAAGAAAAAUUAUUAAGAAAUAUAUAUAUUAUAUACCUAUAAUAAUCAGUGCUCGGAAUGGAGGCUCAGUACGCUAGCUGUUCCGGUUAUGGUAAAAAAAAAACAGAUAUAGGUGUAUUAAUUAUACAGUAUUAUUAUCGUCAUUCGGAUGGUCCAGUAACAAAUUGUUUCCGAAAUCUCUGGGGAAAAAAAAAAAAUAAUAACACUUUUAUUGUUCUUCAUUUUGUACAUAUUUGUAUUUUAUUUUAUUAUUAUUAUUAUUAUUAUUUUUUUUUUUUUGAUGGUAGAAAACCGAAAAAAAUAUACUCAUAUGUUUUAUUGUAUUUAUUUAUUUAUUUAUACCGUUGUAAAAUAUAAAACUAAUUUUUUACUAAAUUCGAUUAAGUAUAUUUUUUAAAGAUAUGUUAGGUUAAUAAUAUUAUGUUUUUAGUGUAUCGUAUUAUUAUUAUUGAUAAGAUGUAAUUAUUAAAUUAUUAAUAUUUGAUCGCAUCGUAAUACAUGACAACUUAGAGAUUAUGUAGUAUAGGUUAGGUUAGGCUAUUCUAAAUUAUAUUAGAUAUAUUUAAAAACAAACUUAACUCAUCUGUUCGAUUUUUCUUUUUUUUUUAUAAUUGAAUAAGAUAAAAUUCGAAACCGCGCAGAAUCGUUUUUUUUUUUUCUAUUUCGAGCACUGAAAUUAAUAACCCCAUAUUGUUCCUAUAUAUAAAAAAAGAAAAAAAAAUACUGAGUCGUAUUAAUUAUUAAUUUAAAAUAGAAGUUUAUUAUUAUAUUAUAUAAUAUGUAUAUAUAUAUAUAUACAUAUAUAUUAUAUAUAUAUAUAUAUAUAUAUUAUGUUGAAUAUGUAUGAAUGUAAAACACAAAAUAACCGCAUACGAUAAUAAUAUUAUGUUAUUAUAUUAUGUACUAUAUUAUACUGUACGAUAAUACACAUCAAUCACGUAAUAUUUUUAGCGAAAACAAAGAGAAAAAAAAAAAUCAUCGUGAUACACGGUAACAGACACACACAGACAUACAGACACACAGAAACACAGACACACAGACACACAGACACACACACACACACACACACACACACACACACACACACACACAAACAGUCACAAACAUACACUUACACACUCACAUAUUAUAUUAUACAUAAUUAUUAUUAUUAUUAUUUCUAUAAUGUACAUCUACGGUAUAAUAAUAUUAUGUACGAUUUACAAUAACGAUUGAUGAUGAUGUUAAAUAUAGUAAUGAAUAUUAUAAAUAUAAAUAAAAAUUGUAUUGAUUUUUGUCUCA